This is a long non-coding RNA of Mustela erminea (ermine), 225 nucleotides long. RefSeq lists it as uncharacterized. NCBI's taxonomy places the organism in Eukaryota, Metazoa, Chordata, Mammalia, Carnivora, Mustelidae. The transcript is spliced from 3 exons. The record is from RefSeq and is a predicted model, not a curated record.
GCAGAGCUGAUGACCAAGAAAGGAUUCUUGAGAAUCUUUGGUGCAAAAAGGUGGUUUUAUUAAAGCACAGGGACAGGACCCGUGGGCAGAAGGAGCUGCACCGGGAUCAGAAAGAGUGGCCCUUUACAUACUUUCAAGUCAGGAGGGAGUUUGGAAGCAAGAUUUCCAGAACCUUGAAGGAGCUACCUAUUGUUGGGAAACGGACAUUUAUUACCAUUUAAUAAA